Molecule: ribosomal RNA, 245 nt
Filed under: uncultured bacterium
Lineage: Bacteria
Description: partial 16S ribosomal RNA
Rfam family: Bacterial small subunit ribosomal RNA
Source: RNAcentral
GUAACGCGUGGGUAACCUGCCUUAUACAGGGGGAUAACAGUCAGAAAUGGCUGCUAAUACCGCAUAAGCGCACAGAGCUGCAUGGCUCAGUGUGAAAAACUCCGGUGGUAUAAGAUGGACCCGCGUUGGAUUAGCUAGUUGGCAGGGUAACGGCCUACCAAAGCGACGAUCCAUAGCCGGCCUGAGAGGGUGGACGGCCACAUUGGGACUGAGACACGGCCCAGACUCCUACGGGAGGCAGCAUG